This 246-nucleotide ribosomal RNA is filed under the name uncultured bacterium. RNAcentral's name for it is "partial 16S ribosomal RNA". It matches the Rfam family "Bacterial small subunit ribosomal RNA", at positions 524 to 766 of the family's 1533-position model. The record is from RNAcentral.
UACGUAGGGUGCAAGCGUUUAAUCGGAAUUACUGGGCGUAAAGCGUGCGCAGGCGGUUUUGUAAGUUUGUCGUGAAAUCCCCGGGCUCAACCUGGGAAUGGCGAUGAAGACUGCAAGGCUAGAAUCUGGCAGAGGGGGGUAGAAUUCCACGUGUGAGCAGUGAAAUGCGUAGAGAUGUGGAGGAACACCGAUGGCGAAGGCAGCCCCCUGGGUCAAGAUUGACGCUCAUGCACGAAAGGCGUGGGG